This is a non-coding RNA of Anas platyrhynchos (mallard), 2078 nucleotides long. The record is from RefSeq and is a predicted model, not a curated record. NCBI's taxonomy places the organism in Eukaryota, Metazoa, Chordata, Aves, Anseriformes, Anatidae.
GGGUCUUGUCAAUCAAGGCAAGACUGAGGCAGAUCCUUACAUGAACUACCCAAGGCAUCGAAGUCAUUGACUGUAAAAGUAAGCCUCUCCUUUCCAACAGCAAUUAGCUUACAGCAUAUUGUUUCAUAACUCCAGCCCCAAAACAAAAGGAUUUUCUUGGAUAAGACCUUUUUUAUUUGAUUGCUCUGCACAAGCAAGGGCAAUGGAUUGGGGAAGGAUGAGCAGCUAUCACACAGGAAAUGGUGAUUGGAACAACUGAAAGGGGGAAGCAAUUCUGUUGUCUGCAGUCUCACGCUGACCUCAGGACAUUUUGCAUAGCUAAGAGCUGCUGUUUGUUCUACAACCAUCAUCCUAAUCUUUCUCCUUCCACCUUCUCCCUCCCCAAAGUUACUCUUGUUUUAUGCAUUUUUAAUGCAGCAGCACAUGAGGUCCCUCUCAGGUCUCAGGUUUUAUCAGCCAUCCAAAAGAUCUGCCCAGAGUCUGCAGUAAGAGAGGCUGAGCCUUGCACAUGGAGAUCUUGGGAGUAAACUGGGUACGGACAAUUCUCAUACCAUGAGUCUCCAGGAGUGACAGCUAGCAGCAAAGGACUCCAGCUUCAAGUCAAGACCCAUCACGUUAGAUGAUGAAGGAGGAAUACUGGAGAGGUAUUGCAAUGGACUCCACAGACCUCAUCACCAGACAUGCCCUGGGCACCUUUUCUGUCAGUGAAACCAAUGGCAUAUUGGAAAAGCAGGAGAUCCAAAGCCACAUCAGAUCACAGGGAGGUCAAGAGAAAUAGCCAAAGUCUUGCCACUGAUCUAAAAAUAUCAGCAAUUUUCCAUUUAAAAAAUCUCUGAUUUUCUGCUUGUUUCUUUGCCAUUGUGGACCAAAAAUAAAGCUAUUAAAAGAAACCUUUAGAAACUUUUUUUUUUUUAAAAAAAAGUACUGUUUAGAAGUUCCUACUUGCAGAGAAACCAGGUAAAAAUAAAAAUAUUGGUUGCAAAUUUUCAUCUGAUUCUGAAAAUGUGCUAGUAAAAAUCAUCCCAAGAUUACACACAGAUACACGAAAUACAUUCCAGAUGGCAUAUCAACCAGCUUUGACAGAUUCCUCUUCUUCUAUGGACUAGAAAAACAAGGGCUGGACUUUUGGUUUGUGUAAUCCAGUUUGUUUCACUGACUUCUGCUGAGAUUCUGUUCUCCUGUCUUCACUUGUACUGAAAAGCCUCAUGAAGCAAAAUGAGACAAAUGGCAAACUGACCCUUCUCAUUUAUUUCCUCUCAUGAAAGUCCUAUCUCUUCAUGGGACAGACACUGAUUUCUGAAGGAUUUGCAUCAUGUCUCAUGAAAAGUAUGAGUGUUGGCUUUUUUCCAGGUACUGUUUUGCUGGCUUAUUUUUUUCAUUUAAUCUAAUUAACAAAUAUACUGAGUUCUUGUACACUUGGUCUUCAGGCUACAUCAGAAAUUUAAAGGCUGUGUAUUUUUAUUUUCCCCACAUAUUUCAAAAUUAUUUGAAAUAAAGUGUGACACGCUUAUCUUUAAUAGCUGCAUCUUUAUGUCUACCAUUCGCCUUCUCGUUCCUUUUCUGAGACGCACAGAACAAGAUAGAAAGAGACUGACCAAGGGAGAACCUCUAUGAGGUCCCACUAUGCAGCUUGAUAUACAGCCUGUGCCCUCCAAGAGGCUUUCUGAAAAACAGUCACUUGUUCAAAAGAAUUCUGGGCUUUCAGUCUCAAACACGGGGGACUCCAUCGCUGCAAGAGAGCUUGGAUGUCUGUAGGCUCUUCACUGCCUUCUGGAUGCAAUUUCAUGCUCAGUCUUUCCCUAUCCCAUGCACAGAAAUAGAGCAAUACCAGGUGCUACUCACUUUAACACCACAUAAAACACCAAAAUUAAAAUUAUCCAAAGAGAUUAACAUUAACACCCUAAUCCUUAGCUAUACAGGAAAUUUUUAAUUCCACCCUUGUUCCUCAGUGAUGAGCCUCUCAACUUCAAUGAAUUUUUUCCUAGUAUUAAAAAUCUUUACAGAUUAUUUGUAUUUUGACCAGUCUCGAGAUAUCCCACUCUAUGAGCAAUCUGUCUGUAUCCUGAUUAAUUCACAAA